AUUGAACGCUGGCGGCAGGCCUAACACAUGCAAGUCGAACGGUAACAGGAAGAAGCUUGCUUCUUUGCUGACGAGUGGCGGACGGGUGAGUAAUGUCUGGGAAACUGCCUGAUGGAGGGGGAUAACUACUGGAAACGGUAGCUAAUACCGCAUAACGUCGCAAGACCAAAAAGGGGGACCUUCGGGCCUCUUGCCAUCGGAUGUGCCCAGAUGGGAUUAGCUAGUAGGUGGGGUAACGGCUCACCUAGGCGACGAUCCCUAGCUGGUCUGAGAGGAUGACCAGCCACACUGGAACUGAGACACGUUCCAGACUCCUACGGGAGGCAGCAGUGGGGAAUAUUGCACAAUGGGCGCAAGCCUGAUGCAGCCAUGCCGCGUGUAUGAAGAAGGCCUUCGGGUUGUAAAGUACUUUCAGCGGGGAGGAAGGGAGUAAAGUUAAUACCUUUGCUCAUUGACGUUACCCGCAGAAGAAGCACCGGCUAACUCCGUG
This 490-nucleotide ribosomal RNA is filed under the name uncultured bacterium. RNAcentral describes it as "partial 16S ribosomal RNA". It matches the Rfam family "Bacterial small subunit ribosomal RNA", at positions 30 to 507 of the family's 1533-position model. The record is from RNAcentral.